GGUAGUCCACGCCGUAAACGAUGUCGACUUGGAGGUUGUGCCCUUGAGGCGUGGCUUCCGGAGCUAACGCGUUAAGUCGACCGCCUGGGGAGUACGGCCGCAAGGUUAAAACUCAAAUGAAUUGACGGGGGCCCGCACAAGCGGUGGAGCAUGUGGUUUAAUUCGAUGCAACGCGAAGAACCUUACCUGGUCUUGACAUCCAGAGAAUCCUGCAGAGAUGCGGGAGUGCCUUCGGGAACUCUGAGACAGGUGCUGCAUGGCUGUCGUCAGCUCGUGUUGUGAAAUGUUGGGUUAAGUCCCGCAACGAGCGCAACCCUUAUCCUUUGUUGCCAGCACGUCAUGGUGGGAACUCAAAGGAGACUGCCGGUGAUAAACCGGAGGAAGGUGGGGAUGACGUCAAGUCAUCAUGGCCCUUACGACCAGGGCUACACACGUGCUACAAUGGCGCAUACAAAGAGAAGCGACCUCGCGAGAGCAAGCGGACCUCAUAAAGUGCGUCGUAGUCCGGAUUGGAGUCUGCAACUCGACUCCAUGAAGUCGGAAUCGCUAGUAAUCGUGGAUCAGAAUGCCACGGUGAAUACGUUCCCGGGCCUUGUACACACCGCCCGUCACACCAUGGGAGUGGGUUGCAAAAGAAGUAGGUAGCUUAACCUUCGGGAGGGCGCUUACCACUUUGUGAUUCAUGACUGGGGUGAAGUCGUAACAAGGUAACC
RNAcentral lists this ribosomal RNA (713 nucleotides) under uncultured bacterium. RNAcentral's name for it is "bacterial SSU rRNA". It matches the Rfam family "Bacterial small subunit ribosomal RNA", at positions 789 to 1501 of the family's 1533-position model. The record is from RNAcentral.